CCAUGCCGCGUGCAGGAAGAAGGCCUUCUGGGUUGUAAACUGCUUUUGCCAGGGGAUAAAAUUUCCAUGCGUGGAAAAUUGAAGGUACCUGGUGAAUAAGCCACGGCUAACUACGUGCCAGCAGCCGCGGUAAUACGUAGGUGGCAAGCGUUGUCCGGAUUUAUUGGGUUUAAAGGGUGCGUAGGCGGCCUAUUAAGUCAGUGCUGAAAUAUCCCGGCUUAACCGGGAGGGUGGCAUUGAUACUGAUGGGCUAGAGUACAGAUGAGGUAGGCGGAAUUGACGGUGUAGCGGUGAAAUGCUUAGAUAUCGUCAAGAACACCUAUAGCGAAGGCAGCUUACUAGGCUGUAACUGACGCUGAGGCACGAAAGUGUGGGGAUCAAACAGGAUUAGAUACCCUGGUAGUCCACACUGUAAACGUUGAUUACUCGCUGUGUGCGAUAUACAGUACGCGGCCAAGCGAAAGCGCUAAGUAAUCCACCUGGGGAGUACGCCGGCAACGGUG
RNAcentral lists this ribosomal RNA (503 nucleotides) under uncultured Bacteroidota bacterium. RNAcentral's name for it is "bacterial SSU rRNA". It matches the Rfam family "Bacterial small subunit ribosomal RNA", at positions 392 to 896 of the family's 1533-position model. Lineage: Bacteria; Pseudomonadati; Bacteroidota. The record is from RNAcentral.